Molecule: long non-coding RNA, 602 nt
Organism: Aegilops tauschii subsp. strangulata
Lineage: Eukaryota; Viridiplantae; Streptophyta; Magnoliopsida; Poales; Poaceae
Source: RefSeq, a predicted model, not a curated record
GCGACCCGCGCCUGUUCCUCGUGACCCUCUCCGAGUUCGGGGAGGCCACCGCUGUCACGGUGGUGUGCGUGCGGGAGGGCACGGCGGCGGCGGCGCCCCGCUUCAGGUCCACGGUCUGGGCUGAGGUUGCCAGCAACACGGAGGAAAAUUUGUUUCGUCGUCUGUCCACCGUGCCGAGCAGCAGCAGCGGCAAUCUUCCCGGUGGAAGGCCGCCGGUGUGCCUGCUGGUGCCACCGGACUUUGGGAGCGAGAGCGAAGACCUCUUCCUCGGUGUUCGCAUUGACAAGCUCUUCUGAUCCAUCGACGCCGCCAAGUCUCAUUAAUCCAUGGUCGUGAAUGUUUUCUUAAUCACUGUGUUGACGACUAAUGCACCGUCGUCGUCAUGGAAAAGGUAGAGAGAUGAGUGGUGUCGAAAAAAAAUUCUCGUUGGUGAUGAAGGUUAUACGACAGGCCUGGAUGGGUAGAAAUUAUAUCUUCUUGUUUCUGCGGGUUUAGGAUUUAUAUGUUCUGCCUAUGUAUCUUUGUCGAUAAACAAGAUGAUUACAGUACUGUAGAUCUAAUCUAUGAUGAUUAUAGCUUGCUGUGUCAUAGCACACUCAGUC